Molecule: long non-coding RNA, 1693 nt
Organism: Petromyzon marinus (sea lamprey)
Lineage: Eukaryota; Metazoa; Chordata; Hyperoartia; Petromyzontiformes; Petromyzontidae
Source: RefSeq, a predicted model, not a curated record
UUUUUAACGAACAAUACUAGAAUUGACAACGUCCCCCCCCCCCAGAUUUAUUGUAAUUCCCAAAUUGAGGUGAUGUAUAAAGCAGACAAGGCAGUGGCACCGUGGUUUACUGAGUUCGGUGACCUGAGUUUGAUUCCCGGCCAUAGGUAACAUAAGUGAUAUCUGAAUAGACCCUACUGACCUGCAUAGUUAAGUAUGGUUGAACAGCCCCCAACGAUUGACAUGACAUGGAGAGUACUUCACUAAGCAGUAUAUUGAGAAUGAGUAGGGGUGCAAUACACAAGUGUACACAUUCCAAUAUAAUAGCCCUGGCCAGGUGCACAUGGCCAAGUGUCCUGUCUAAAGGGUACUGUACUAAUCAAGCUUUGGACAAUACCUCAGUAUCAAUCUUGCUGAAUCUCUACUCUUAAAGUGAUCAGAGGUAAUUAUCUACUUUUGUUUUUGGAUGGCAACAUUUUCAUUCAGGUACCUUUAAUUAUAUGUUUUGUGCUCUGAUUAAGAACAUUUCAGUUACAUUCGAGUAUGUCAUGAAUACAUCUUUAUUGUAUACACAACCAAGAUGCCUGUCGAUACCAACAACACGAUCGAAAAUGGUUGAACACAAGCGGAAAGUUCAAUCAAAGCCAAAAGUUGUUAAGUUUCACAGCACUGCCCCUGUUUACCCAAAAACAAAUGAAGAACAAAGCAGCUGAUUACAAAUGACGAUCACAAUCAAUCCCUAUGCCUUGGAGUGACGCCUGCAAUUAGAGGGGCGAUGCAUGUUGUGUGGCCAACUGUUAAAAACCAUCAAUUACGCAUUCCCUUUGUUAAUCACUUCAGCCCUGCUCCCCUCCCCCCCACCUCCUUAAAAUGCCCUCCUAAAACAACACGAACCUUUAACGCGCCAAAACAUGUGCGCCACUUGUACGAACACGAGCAACAUGCAAGGAAGUGCUUGCUCCACAAUGUGCCCCCGCACAACUCGCUGAGCGGAGGGCGCUCUGUUGUCGGGCACACGCCUAACUCAGCGGGAGACUCCCGGCCGGACCUGUUAAACCCAUCUAAAUCACGCGGCACGUGUUGCCCGGGCGCCCCCCCCUGUGAUGUGACACACUCCACCCCUGCAGGUGGCCCCUGAACCUUUGGGGGCUCCGUCUGCUAACACAAUUACCCUCGGGCGCCCCAGCCCCACUUAACUCAUCCGAGGGGCCACGGAGCUGCAGCCAAAGGCAACACGGCCCGGUGGCCCCAAGAGGGAAGAUUCCGCCUUAAAGACGACCGACGGCACACUCCAGAGCGGACGCAGCGGAUCAAGUGAUGAAAUAAAGAGCUCCCAUCGUGACACAGAACAGAAGCUUGCGCUGAGAUGGUGAACCACGCUAGCAGCACGAGAAUGGCCGUCACCAGGAUGAGUGUCCGCCACGACUCCAGGAUAUAAAUGGGCACACCACAAUUGAACGGCAGGUCACGUGCUGGUGGAGGAGAGCAUGGGCACUGCGACUUCUUCAAGAGGGGCUAUCCCGAGAGCUCCCUCUAGUGUAGAGCCAUCUGCCUGCGGCAGCGUGAGCAACUUGUUGAACAACCGAAAACGACCUGAACGGAAGCUCCCCGAGCACGUGGGGCGAAACGCCGGACACCGUGCUGAGCACGUCGGAGGGUGGCGGCGGGAGGAGUGUCGCGCACACCGUUGGCGCUCGUGAGGAUCGGCACCGUG